UAUGACACUUAUUAAAACACACUUUUGUUUAAAAAAUUAAGGGACUUGAGAGAGAAUUUAGAGGAAGACAAAUGUAAUACGGAAGAACGAUUCUUAAAGCUCAACGAUAGGAUAGAAAUAUUAUAUACAGCUUUACCUUUUUCAAAUUUUAUUUGUGAAGAUUCCAAUUAUUUCCUUUAUUAUUCAUUCACCCUCCCCUGAUUGAUAAUGUGUGGCUGUAGGAAGGUAAAUUUAUUUGUUGCUCAAUUGCCCUAAACUAAUAUUGUAUAUUUUGCAGCUCUGAGAUGUCUAAGGAUCAAAUGGUUGUAGAUCUUACAUCACGCACAAAAGUACUAUUCUGGAGUGGGAUUUUUCUUGGUUCAGUGUCAAUUGGAGUCCUUGCCUAUGCUGUUUCCAGGCUGGUGUGAGGGACAACUUCGUAUAAUACUGAAGUUUUGAAAUGACGUCACCAUCAAAGAAAAUAAAGGAAACAUUGUAUAUGAAGGGGACGGAGGAGUUGCAGGUGGCGCUGCAGAGUAUUCCUUUAAUGGUGAUUAUUUUUGGGGAUUUAGUAGCACUGGAGACUUCAUGGAUGACAAUGAUUUCCAAAAUACACGUUACUCUGUAUCUCUGGCAUCUUCAAAUCUCUCUGAUUUAUACACGACAGCACGCAUAUCCCCAAUUUCAAUCACAUAUUUCCAUUAUUGCUUAGAAAAUGACUAUACUGUAAGUCUUCACUUUGCGGAGAUACAGUUUACAAAUGACCAAACAUAUACGAGUCUUGGCAGACGCGUAUUUGAUAUCUAUGUUCAGGAAGAAGUAUUGCGAAAGGAUUUCAAUAUUGAAGAUGAGGCAAAGAUGGCUCAAAAGCCUGUAAUACUAGAACAUAAUGUCA
This is a non-coding RNA of Prunus avium (sweet cherry), 874 nucleotides long. The record is from RefSeq and is a predicted model, not a curated record. Lineage: Eukaryota; Viridiplantae; Streptophyta; Magnoliopsida; Rosales; Rosaceae.